RNAcentral lists this ribosomal RNA (200 nucleotides) under uncultured bacterium. RNAcentral's name for it is "partial 16S ribosomal RNA". It matches the Rfam family "Bacterial small subunit ribosomal RNA", at positions 1295 to 1500 of the family's 1533-position model. The record is from RNAcentral.
GGAUCGAAGUCUGCAACCCGACUUCGUGAAGUUGGAUUCGCUAGUAAUCGCGCAUCAGCCAUGGCGCGGUGAAUACGUUCCCGGGCCUUGUACACACCGCCCCGUCAAGCCAUGGGGAGCCGGGGGGCGCCUGAAGCCGGGACCGCGAGGACCGGCCUAGGGCGAAACUGGUAACUGGGGCUAAGUCGUAACAAGGUAGC